RNAcentral lists this unclassified non-coding RNA (569 nucleotides) under Hevea brasiliensis (rubber tree). The record is from RNAcentral. Lineage: Eukaryota; Viridiplantae; Streptophyta; Magnoliopsida; Malpighiales; Euphorbiaceae.
AUGAACAUGUUUGACGCUCAGGUGAGGUCAAUGGUUAAUUUAUUUUUUUUCUUCCAGAAGAAGAUAUAUAAAAGACACUGACGUAGGACUUUCCUGGGGGGGUCAGAUUCUCUGCACUCGUGUUUAACUUUUGGAAAAGAGCAUUUCUAGUUAGAUUAACGUUAUAUACUGAUGCUUUUGAUAGCCCAAUGACAUCUUGCCAACUGUUAGUUCAUUUUAAUGUAAGGUUCAAAUUUUCUAAAUUAGACUUGGAAUUUAAAAUUAUUAUUGCAUGAUGACCCACCACCAACAAUUAUUUGACUAUUAUAUAUGAUAAUUUAGAGGUAAAAAAAAAUGUAGAAUUCUGUAGAAAAUUCUAGAUCCAGUUAAAUUAGAAAAGGUUGUUCUUCCACUUGGCUCAAAGUUGAUAACUCUAUUGUCAAUUCUUCUCUCUUGCUUUUUCUAUGGAAGGAUAGUGAGCACUGAAUUUCACUUUGAUGUGACUUGUUGUGAGCCAUGACAAGCUGGCCACUGCUAUAUUAAUCUUUUAAACCAAGUCCUUCUAUGAUUUGAAUCAUUAUUGAAGCUGA